AAUCAACGCUGGCGGCGUGCCUAACACAUGCAAGUCGCACGAGAAAGGGUCUUCGGAUCUGGGUAAAGUGGCGCACGGGUGAGUAACACGUGAAUUAUCUACCUUCGAGUGGGGAAUAACUUCGGGAAACCGAGGCUAAUACCGCAUAAUAUCUACGGAUCAAAGCAGUAAUGCGCUUGAAGAGGAGUUCGCGGCAGAUUAGUUAGUUGGCGGGGUAAUGGCCCACCAAGACGAUGAUCUGUAUCCGGCCUGAGAGGGCGCACGGACACACUGGAACUGAAACACGGUCCAGACUCCUACGGGAGGCAGCAGUGGGGAAUUUUGCGCAAUGGGGGAAACCCUGACGCAGCAACGCCGCGUGGAGGAUGAAGUCUCCUGGGACGUAAACUCCUUUCGAUAGGGAAGAUUAUGACGGUACCUAUAGAAGAAGCCCCGGCUAACUUCGUGCCAGCCGCCGCAGUAA
This 463-nucleotide ribosomal RNA is filed under the name uncultured bacterium. RNAcentral describes it as "partial 16S ribosomal RNA". It matches the Rfam family "Bacterial small subunit ribosomal RNA", at positions 32 to 523 of the family's 1533-position model. The record is from RNAcentral.